This 468-nucleotide ribosomal RNA is filed under the name uncultured bacterium. Its description in RNAcentral is "partial 16S ribosomal RNA". It matches the Rfam family "Bacterial small subunit ribosomal RNA", at positions 28 to 507 of the family's 1533-position model. The record is from RNAcentral.
GACGAACGCUGGCGGCGUGCUUAACACAUGCAAGUCGAACGGAAAGGCCCUGCUUUUGUGGGGUGCUCGAGUGGCGAACGGGUGAGUAACACGUGAGUAACCUGCCCUUGACUUUGGGAUAACUUCAGGAAACUGGGGCUAAUACCGGAUAGGAGCUCCUGCUGCAUGGUGGGGGUUGGAAAGUUUCGGCGGUUGGGGAUGGACUCGCGGCUUAUCAGCUUGUUGGUGGGGUAGUGGCUUACCAAGGCUUUGACGGGUAGCCGGCCUGAGCGGGUGACCGGCCACGUUGGGCCUGAGAUACGGCCCAGACUCCUACGGGAGGCAGCAGUGGGGAAUAUUGCACAAUGGGCGGAAGCCUGAUGCAGCAACGCCGCGUGCGGGAUGACGGCCUUCGGGUUGUAAACCGCUUUCGCCUGUGACGAAGCGUGAGUGACGGUAAUGGGUAAAGAAGCACCGGCUAACUACGUG